GAGUUCCGCUAGGGGUGCCGUAAGGCUGAGAUAGGUUGAGUCCUGACCCUUUGAACCUGUUGGGUAAUGCCAGCGUAGGGAAGCGGAUGGCUUUUGCA
This 98-nucleotide non-coding RNA is filed under the name Peptococcaceae bacterium. RNAcentral's name for it is "TPP sequence". It matches the Rfam family "TPP riboswitch aptamer (THI element)". From Rfam's summary of the family: Vitamin B(1) in its active form thiamin pyrophosphate (TPP) is an essential coenzyme that is synthesised by coupling of pyrimidine and thiazole moieties in bacteria. The previously detected thiamin-regulatory element, thi box was extended, resulting in a new, highly conserved RNA secondary structure, the THI element, which is widely distributed in eubacteria and also occurs in some archaea. Analysis of operon structures identified a large number of new candidate thiamin-regulated genes, mostly transporters, in various prokaryotic organisms. Lineage: Bacteria; Bacillati; Bacillota; Clostridia; Eubacteriales; Peptococcaceae. The record is from RNAcentral.